GUUUGUACCAUGACCGUAGAAGAUACUCUGGGCCAAAUGAUGUAUUUCUUAUUUAACAAGUAGUAUAAGUUAUAUUGCCAGAUACUUUUAGGCACAUGUAAAUGAGUUUGAGAACUCUUAACCGUGCUCUCUCUUCAAUAAUAGAAGCUGGAAUUUUUCAGUAAAAUCUCCUGCCUCCUCUGAGUGCCCAGUUUAUACACAGAACUGCUGUUCAUGUUAGACGCGCGAAGGCAAGAAGACACAUGAGCGUGCGACAGAGUGAGCAACAGAGAAGCUCUGAACAGCACUGCUCUUCAUCUGAAUGUGUGGGAAAUAAGGUCAAGUUACAGAGGUAGAUGGGAACAUCUGUGAAGUAGAAGGCUAUGACCUCCUGAGGGAGAAAAAUGCCCUCCGAUCCAAACGUUCCAGAGAAGCAGAGUGGCUUUCCGGAGACACACUAUCCGCCCAUGAGGGGAGCACCAUCCCAGGGUGCUCGAGUGAGCAUGACUCCCUGGUCAGCCUGGGAUGCAGGUGUGUGUGCACGUGGGCAGACAGGCACACACACCCUGUCCUGCUGAUACAGUGUGCACGGUGGCAGGUUACUGCUGUAUCAGACAUGCUUUGCACUUACUUCCAGAGUAAGAGCCAAAGUCACUUUGUUCCUAAUUAAAUUGCUUUCUCUCUGCCGUG
This is a long non-coding RNA of Lontra canadensis (Northern American river otter), 669 nucleotides long. RefSeq lists it as uncharacterized. Lineage: Eukaryota; Metazoa; Chordata; Mammalia; Carnivora; Mustelidae. The transcript is spliced from 2 exons. The record is from RefSeq and is a predicted model, not a curated record.